GCUGGGCUGACUCCUGGGGACAGCUCCCUGGGCAGGCCAGCCCUGCUGCAUUCCCUGGGCCCUCUGCAGGCAUUGCCUCUUCAGCACGCUUCUCUCUGCCAGAGCUCCCUUCUCACUUUCUUCAUCUUUGAGGGCCGGAAUGGGUCUAGGGCAGACCCGACCACACCAUGUGCCUGGCAAAGAAGUGGCUGAAAACUGAGCUGGCAUCACAGUAAGUUCUACCAAAGGCAGGCUGUACCUUCGCAGCUGCUGACAUUCCAUUAACAUGAGUGGCCCAGAGCGGAUUUUCUCAACCCAACCGCAUCCUUUCUGGGCUGGGGCAAGUGCUCCACCAGUCACUCUGGUCUGAUCUUUCACUCCAGGAUCCUGGGAGGAUCCAGAUUUGUUCCUGAGAUUUCCUCGGGCUGGCAGGGAUCAGCAAACAACUCCACUCCCUCAGAAGGAGCAACUCAGCUGCUCUUCUAAGGAGCACAGGCCCCUCUCCAUCCUGUCCACUGCAACAGGUAGCUGCUGCCCACUCACCCACCUAUCAAUGCCUAGCCCAUGUCUUCAGGAAGCAGGAAGCCUGGCGGAGACCUGGCAUGCCGUCAGGGCUGGUGGGUGACAUUCUGGGGCCCUCACAGCCAGGAGGAAUCGAAGCUGUGGCCACAGCCUCAUCAGAGCGCUGUGACUCCUGCGCGAAGCUGAGGGAAGGCUGCUGGCAGUUGGGGCUGGGGAUAGAGUAGGCAAGCCUGGGCUCCCCUUCCCCUUGCUUAUCUGUCUUAUAAACCAAGUGAGCCUAAAACACCACUUAAAUAAAGGAUUCUGAGACUAAAAAAA
Molecule: non-coding RNA, 819 nt
Organism: Chlorocebus sabaeus (green monkey)
Lineage: Eukaryota; Metazoa; Chordata; Mammalia; Primates; Cercopithecidae
Source: RefSeq, a predicted model, not a curated record